UAGUAACGGCGAGUGAAGCGGCAACAGCUCAAAUUUGAAAUCUGGCCCUCGGGUCCGAGUUGUAAUUUGUAGAGGAUGCUUUUGGCGCGGUGCCUUCCAAGUUCCCUGGAACGGGACGCCUUAGAGGGUGAGAGCCCCGUACGGUUGGACACUAAGCCUCUGUAAUGCUCCUUCGACGAGUCGAGUAGUUUGGGAAUGCUGCUCUAAGUGGGAGGUAAACUUCUUCUAAAGCUAAAUAUCGGCCAGAGACCGAUAGCGCACAAGUAGAGUGAUCGAAAGAUGAAAAGCACUUUGAAAAGAGGGUUAAAUAGCACGUGAAAUUGUUGAAAGGGAAGCGUUUGCGACCAGACUUUCUCCGGGCAAAUCAUCCGGUGUUCUCACCGGUGCACUUCGCCUGGUUUAGGCCAGCAUCGGUUUUCGUAGGGGGAUAAAGGCCUGGGGAAUGUAGCUCUUUAGGGAGUGUUAUAGCCCCUCGCGUAAUACCUUUACGGGGACCGAGGACCGCGCUUCGGCAAGGAUGUUGGCAUAAUGGUCGUCAACGACCCGUCUUGAAACACGGACCAAGGAGUCGAACAUUUGUGCGAGUGUUUGGGUGUUAAACCCUCACGCGUAAUGAAAGUGAACGGAGGUGAGAGCCCUUACGGAUGCAUCAUCGACCGAUCCUGAUGUCUUCGGAUGGAUUUGAGUAAGAGCAUAACUGUUCGGACCCGAAAGAUGGUGAACUAUGCGUGGAUAGGGUGAAGCCAGAGGAAACUCUGGUGGAGGCUCGCAGCGGUUCUGACGUGCAAAUCGAUCGUCAAAUCUGCGCAUGGGGGCGAAAGACUAAUCGAACCAUGAAAAAAACCAGCGGUAGAAAAACCUUUUACUAGGUGGUUUAGAGGCCCUCCGUAAGGGAGCGCCUAGGUGACACUUACCCUGUAGCUCCGUCGGGUGAAGCUGGGACGGGUGAAACCGACACCACUAAAUUGCGGGGACAUCCUAUAGAGGCCACGGGCUACCGCCGGGCGCUGAAAAGCGUGUGCUGGCACCAAGAAUAGCGCUCUUGGGUACGGUAAUAAUGCCCUGUGGUAACGGACAACCUGCAGCCAACCCCGUACUUUUGUAGGGGAGAGUUCACUGACUAGACAGUGGUGGGUCGUCCCAAGCCCUUGGGACUGGCUUAAGAUAUAGUCG
This 1173-nucleotide ribosomal RNA is filed under the name Whalleya sp. RNAcentral's name for it is "partial large subunit ribosomal RNA". It matches the Rfam family "Eukaryotic large subunit ribosomal RNA", at positions 81 to 1417 of the family's 3401-position model. Lineage: Eukaryota; Fungi; Ascomycota; Sordariomycetes; Xylariales; Xylariaceae. The record is from RNAcentral.